UUUGGUUAAGUUAGAAAGGGCGCACGGUGGAUGCCUUGACACUAGGAGUCGAUGAAGGACGGGACUAACGCCGAUAUGCUUCGGGGAGCUGUAAGUAAGCUUUGAUCCGAAGAUUUCCGAAUGGGGAAACCCACCAUACGUAAUGGUAUGGUAUCCUUAUCUGAAUACAUAGGGUAAGGAAGACAGACCCAGGGAACUGAAACAUCUAAGUACCUGGAGGAAGAGAAAGCAAAUGCGAUUUCCUGAGUAGCGGCGAGCGAAACGGAACAUAGCCCAAACCAAGAGGCUUGCCUCUUGGGGUUGUAGGACAUUCUAUACGGAGUUACAAAGGAACGAGGUAGACGAAGCGACCUGGAAAGGUCCGUCGUAGAGGGUAACAACCCCGUAGUCGAAACUUCGUUCUCUCUUGAAUGUAUCCUGAGUACGGCGGAACACGUGAAAUUCCGUCGGAAUCUGGAAGGACCAUCUCCCAAGGCUAAAUACUCCCUAGUGAUCGAUAGUGAACCAGUACCGUGAGGGAAAGGUGAAAAGCACCCCGGAAGGGGAGUGAAAGAGAUCCUGAAACCGUGUGCCUACAAAUAGUCAGAGCCCGUUAACGGGUGAUGGCGUGCCUUUUGUAGAAUGAACCGGCGAGUUACGAUCCCGUGCGAGGUUAAGCUGAAGAGGCGGAGCCGCAGCGAAAGCGAGUCUGAAUAGGGCGUUUAGUACGUGGUCGUAGACCCGAAACCAGGUGAUCUACCCAUGUCCAGGGUGAAGUUCAGGUAACACUGAAUGGAGGCCCGAACCCACGCACGUUGAAAAGUGCGGGGAUGAGGUGUGGGUAGCGGAGAAAUUCCAAUCGAACCUGGAGAUAGCUGGUUCUCCCCGAAAUAGCUUUAGGGCUAGCCUUAAGUGUAAGAGUCUUGGAGGUAGAGCACUGAUUGGACUAGGGGUCCUCAUCGGAUUACCGAAUUCAGUCAAACUCCGAAUGCCAAUGACUUAUCCUUAGGAGUCAGACUGCGAGUGAUAAGAUCCGUAGUCAAAAGGGAAACAGCCCAGACCGCCAGCUAAGGUCCCAAAGUGUGUAUUAAGUGGAAAAGGAUGUGGAGUUGCUUAGACAACUAGGAUGUUGGCUUAGAAGCAGCCACCAUUUAAAGAGUGCGUAAUAGCUCACUAGUCGAGUGACUCUGCGCCGAAAAUGUACCGGGGCUAAAUACACCACCGAAGCUGCGGAUUGAUACCAAUGGUAUCAGUGGUAGGGGAGCGUUCUAAGGACAGUGAAGUCAGACCGGAAGGACUGGUGGAGUGCUUAGAAGUGAGAAUGCCGGUAUGAGUAGCGAAAGACGGGUGAGAAUCCCGUCCACCGAAUGCCUAAGGUUUCCUGAGGAAGGCUCGUCCGCUCAGGGUUAGUCAGGACCUAAGCCGAGGCCGACAGGCGUAGGCGAUGGACAACAGGUUGAUAUUCCUGUACCACCUCUUUAUCGUUUGAGCAAUGGAGGGACGCAGAAGGAUAGAAGAAGCGUGCGAUUGGUUGUGCACGUCCAAGCAGUUAGGCUGAUAAGUAGGCAAAUCCGCUUAUCGUGAAGGCUGAGCUGUGAUGGGGAAGCUCCUUAUGGAGCGAAGUCUUUGAUUCCCCGCUGCCAAGAAAAGCUUCUAGCGAGAUAAAAGGUGCCUGUACCGCAAACCGACACAGGUAGGCGAGGAGAGAAUCCUAAGGUGUGCGAGAGAACUCUGGUUAAGGAACUCGGCAAAAUGACCCCGUAACUUCGGGAGAAGGGGUGCUUUCUUAACGGAAAGCCGCAGUGAAUAGGCCCAAGCGACUGUUUAGCAAAAACACAGCUCUCUGCGAAGCCGUAAGGCGAAGUAUAGGGGGUGACACCUGCCCGGUGCUGGAAGGUUAAGGAGAGGGGUUAGCGUAAGCGAAGCUCUGAACUGAAGCCCCAGUAAACGGCGGCCGUAACUAUAACGGUCCUAAGGUAGCGAAAUUCCUUGUCGGGUAAGUUCCGACCCGCACGAAAGGUGUAACGAUUUGGGCACUGUCUCAACCAGAGACUCGGUGAAAUUAUAGUACCUGUGAAGAUGCAGGGUACCCGCGACAGGACGGAAAGACCCCGUGGAGCUUUACUGUAGCCUGAUAUUGAAUUUUGGUACAGUUUGUACAGGAUAGGCGGGAGCCUUUGAAACCGGAGCGCUAGCUUCGGUGGAGGCGCUGGUGGGAUACCGCCCUGACUGUAUUGAAAUUCUAACCUACGGGUCUUAUCGACCCGGGAGACAGUGUCAGGUGGGCAGUUUGACUGGGGCGGUCGCCUCCUAAAGUGUAACGGAGGCGCCCAAAGGUUCCCUCAGAAUGGUUGGAAAUCAUUCGUAGAGUGCAAAGGCAUAAGGGAGCUUGACUGCGAGACCUACAAGUCGAGCAGGGACGAAAGUCGGGCUUAGUGAUCCGGUGGUUCCGCAUGGAAGGGCCAUCGCUCAACGGAUAAAAGCUACCCCGGGGAUAACAGGCUUAUCUCCCCCAAGAGUCCACAUCGACGGGGAGGUUUGGCACCUCGAUGUCGGCUCAUCGCAUCCUGGGGCUGUAGUCGGUCCCAAGGGUUGGGCUGUUCGCCCAUUAAAGCGGUACGCGAGCUGGGUUCAGAACGUCGUGAGACAGUUCGGUCCCUAUCCGUCGUGGGCGUAGGAAAUUUGAGAGGAGCUGUCCUUAGUACGAGAGGACCGGGAUGGACGCACCGCUGGUGUACCAGUUGUUCUGCCAAGGGCAUAGCUGGGUAGCUAUGUGCGGAAGGGAUAAGUGCUGAAAGCAUCUAAGCAUGAAGCCCCCCUCAAGAUGAGAUUUCCCAUAGCGUAAGCUAGUAAGAUCCCUGAAAGAUGAUCAGGUUGAUAGGUUCGAGGUGGAAGCAUGGUGACAUGUGGAGCUGACGAAUACUAAUAGAUCGAGGACUUAACCAUAUAA
Molecule: ribosomal RNA, 2929 nt
Filed under: Bacillus anthracis (anthrax bacterium)
Lineage: Bacteria; Bacillati; Bacillota; Bacilli; Caryophanales; Bacillaceae
Also listed under: 5 other names
Description: bacterial LSU rRNA
Rfam family: Bacterial large subunit ribosomal RNA
Source: RNAcentral